This 1127-nucleotide long non-coding RNA is filed under the name Apteryx haastii (Great spotted kiwi). Its description in RNAcentral is "lncRNA (ENSAHAG00000016237.1)". Lineage: Eukaryota; Metazoa; Chordata; Aves; Apterygiformes; Apterygidae. The record is from RNAcentral.
CCACACGCUCUUGCGCGUCCUUGCACGCUCUUGCACUUCCUUGCACGCUUGUGCACCUCCUCACACACUCUCACAUGUCUUUGCACAUCCUUGCAUGCCCUUGCACGCUCUUGCAUGUCCUUGCACGCUCUUGCACCUCCUUGCAUGUCCUCUCAUGUCCUUGCAUGCUUUUGCACGCUCUUGCACCUCCUCACACGUCUUUGCACGCCCUUGCACGCUCUUGCACUUCCUUGCAUGCUUUUGCACGUCUUUGCACACCCUCGCACGCUCUUGCAUGCCCUUGCACGCUCUUGCGCGUCUUUGCACGCUUUUGCAUGUCGUUGCAUGCUCUCAGACGCCCUCGCGCACUCUUGCACAUCUUUGCACGUCCUCGCACGCUCUUGCACACCCUUGCACACUUUUGCACAUCUUUGCAUGCUCUCACACGCCCUUGCACGUCCUUGAAUGCUCUUGCACCUCCUCACACGCUCUUGCACAUCUUUGCACAUCCUUGCAUGCUCUUGCAUGCUUUUGCACAUCUUUGCACGCUCUCACAUUUCCUUGUACACUCUCGCACCUCCUUGCACCUCCUUGCACACUCUUGCACAUCCUCGCAUGCUUUUGCACAUCUUUGCAUGCUCUCGCACCUCCUCACACGUCCUCGCACGUCCUUGCACACUCUUGCACAUACUUGCAUGUCCUUGCACGCUCUUCCAUGCUCUCACACACCCUCGCACGCUCUUGCACCUCCUCGCACUCUCACAUGCUCUCGCACGUCCUCGCACGCUCUUGCACAUCCUCGCACGCUCUUGCACAUCCUUGCACACUCUCACACACUCUUGCACGUCCUUGCAUGCUCUCGCCCAACCCUGCAUGUCCUUGCACACUCUUGCAUGUCCUUGCACGCUCUUGCACGUCUUUGCACACUCUCACAUGCUCUUCCACGUCCUCACACACUCUUGCACGUCCUCGCAUGCUUUUGCACGUCUUUGCACGCUCUCACAUGCUCUCGCACCUCCUUGCACACUCUCACACACUCUUGCACCUCCUCGCAUGCUCUUGCACCUCCUCACACGCUCUUGCAUGUCCUUGCACACUCUUGAAUGCUCUUGCACACCCUUGCCCCUCCUCGCACGUCCUCGCAUGUC